AAGCAGAUCGGCGGCCGCGGGGAGGUUCGGGGCGGCGCAGCCCCGCGCGGUUGUGGGAUCGCUCCCGGGGGCCGCUCCUCUCUCGGGCACUGGGGUCGCGGGAGACGUCGUCGGGAGCUCGGUUUCUGGAGGCCCUUCCCCACCCGGCCUCUGCCUCCUCCACUCCCCCGGGCUGGACGGAACGGGGCCCAGCGCGGGAUGCGAGGGUCUUACUAUGUCACCCAGACUGAAGUGCAGUGGCAUGAUCACAGGUCAUUGCAUCCUCAACCACCCAGACUCAAGCAAUCCUCCUGUCUCAGCCUUCCAAGUAACUGAGACCACAGACAAAGCCUCACUCUGUCACCCAGACUGGAGUGCAGUGGUAUAAUCAUAGCUCACUACAGCCUUGACCUCCUGAGCUCAAGCAGUCCUCCUGUCUCAGCCUCCCAAGUAGCUGGGAUGACAGUGUGCACCACCACACCCAGCUAAUUUUUUUUUUUUUGGUCUUGCUGUGUUGCCCGGGCUGGACUCAAGUGAUCUUCCCUUCUCAGCCUCUCAAAGUGCUGGAAUUACAGGCAUGAGCCACCGUGCCCAGCCAGAGAAAUAACCAUGGAUAUGGGUAGAGACAGAGCCAUAUGGAAUGCACACUGCAGUGGUGAACACAUGGCCCAGCUCUGCCAUCAAGGAGAAGGAACAUGAAUGGAGCUGGAGGCCAUCAUCCUUAGUGAACUAACACAGGAGCAGAAAACCAAAUACCACAUGUUCUCAUGUGUAAGUGGGAGCUAAAUGAUGAGAACACAUGGACACAAAGAGGGGAACAACAGACACUGAAGCCUCCUUGAGGGAGGAGGGUAAGAGGAAGGAGAAGAUCAGAAAAGAUAACUACCAGGUACUAUGGUAGCUUAGUACCUGGGUGAUGAAAUAAUCUGUACACCCAACCCUCAUGACAGAAGUUUACCUGUGUAACAAACCUGCACAUGUAUCCCUGAAACUAAAAGUUUUUUAAAAAGUUAUUUAAUAUAUAUAUAUUUUUUUGAGACGGAGUUUUGCUCUUGUUGCCCAGGCUGGAGUGCGGUGGCGCAAUUUCGGCUCACCACAACCUCCGCCUCCCAGGUUCAAGCUAUUCCCCUGCCUCAGCCUCCCUAGUAGCUGGGAUUACAGGCUUGUGCCACCACGCCGGCUAAUUUUGUAUUUUUUGUAGAGACGGGGUUUCUCCAUGUUGGUCAGGCUGGUCUCGAACUCCCGACCUCAGGUGAUCCACCCCCCUCGGCCUCCCAAAGUGCUAGGAUUACAGGCAUGAGCCACUGCGCCCGGCAAAAAGUUAUUUAAUAUUAAUGGGACAAUACUCAUUGCAAGAAUCAGACUUCAAUUGCUAGCAUAAGUAAAUGACAGGCAGGAGAUAUUGAAAAUGCAAUCUUAUAGACAUUCAAGGAGAGGACGCAGGACAUUUCUGUGUCAUAAAUGUACUAUGGAAAAUAAAAAUGAGAAAAAUGGAAAUAAAAUACAAGAAAAGGUUAUGAUAAAUUUCAUAUUAUUUUACCACAAUAAAAAAAUUUUAAUAAAUUAUAAAUGGUGUGAUAUGUUUUGCCUGUGUUCCACCCAAAUCUCAUCUUGAAUUAGAGCUCCCACAAUUCCCACGUGUUGUGGCUGGGACCCUGUGGGAGAUAAUUGAAUCAUGGGGGCAGUUUACCCCAUACUGUUCUCUUGGUGGUGAAUAAGUCUCAUGAGAGUUGAUGGUUUGAUAAGGGGUUUCCCCUUUUGCUUGGCUCUCAUUCUCUCUUGACUGCCACCAUGUAAGAUGUGCCUUUUGCCUUCCACCAUGAUUGUGAAGCCUCCCAGCCACAUGGAACUGUGAGUCCAUUAAACCUUUUUCUUUACAAAUUA
RNAcentral lists this long non-coding RNA (1863 nucleotides) under Homo sapiens (human). RNAcentral's name for it is "CCNY antisense RNA 1, transcript variant 3 (CCNY-AS1)". The record is from RNAcentral. Lineage: Eukaryota; Metazoa; Chordata; Mammalia; Primates; Hominidae.